This 853-nucleotide ribosomal RNA is filed under the name Halticoptera laevigata. RNAcentral's name for it is "eukaryotic LSU rRNA". It matches the Rfam family "Eukaryotic large subunit ribosomal RNA", at positions 365 to 966 of the family's 3401-position model. The record is from RNAcentral. Lineage: Eukaryota; Metazoa; Arthropoda; Insecta; Hymenoptera; Pteromalidae.
UUGAAAGAACUUUGAAGAGAGAGUUCAAGAGUACGUGAAACCGUUCAGGGUAACCUGAGAAACCCAAGAUCGAAUGGGAAAAUUCAGUACAGCGGCUUUGGCUUCCGUGCGGCUGCGAUGCCCGGGACUUCGGUUCCGUGUCACGCGCUCACUGCGGCAUGUCCGGCAUCGUCGGUGUGCACUUCUCCCCUAGUAGGACGUCGCGACCCGUUGGGUGCCGGCCUACGGGACUGUAUCGUAGACUGUCGCGUCGCGUUCACGCGUGCUCGCGGCAAACGAUGGUCUCCCGGCCGGCUGCCCGGCGGUAUAGAUCGCUAUAAAACGGUAUUGGGCCGCAUUAAGUGCGUCCUGGCCCGUCGGCAGACACGUCUCGCUCGGAUUUACGGACCUAGCGCCGUUGCCGGGUGCUUGGCGUGUUGUUAGUCGACGGUGUCCUCGGACUGGCUCUUGCAUUCGAACGGAUUUACCGGUCGGCGACGCUACUGCUUUGGGUACUUUCAGGACCGUCUGAAACACGGACCAAGGAGUCUAACAUGUGCGCGAGUCAUUGGGACUUGUUAAGCCUAAAGGCGCAAUGAAAGUGAAGGUCGACCCUAGCGUCGACCGAGGGAGGAUGGAUCUCGUCACGAUGAUAUCCCGCACUCCCGGGGCGUCUCGUGCUCAUUGCGAGCAGAGGCGCACCCAGAGCGUACACGUUGGGACCCGAAAGAUGGUGAACUAUGCCUGGUCAGGACGAAGUCAGGGGAAACCCUGAUGGAGGUCCGUAGCGAUUCUGACGUGCAAAUCGAUCGUCGGAACUGGGUAUAGGGGCGAAAGACUAAUCGAACCAUCUAGUAGCUGGUUCCCUCCGAAG